GAGAAAACGACUUUUUGAAGGUUCGUUUAGGUUUGUAGGAACAUGACUGCUAGCUUACUUUACGUCUGUUUUUGCCAGGUCAGGUUAGCUAUGUAGCUAGACCUACUGAAGCUAACUUUACAUUUAUUUCAACUUGCUAAGAUGUCUUGUCUGCAGGUUUUGUUGCCCUUACAAUAGCAGUUACAUAACGGUGGGUUAAAUUAAUGAGUUGACUUUUGUCUAGAAACGGAGUAAAUUAGGUUUGGUGUUGAUGAUUAAGAGGCUAUUGAUUGUUUUCGGAUUUAUUUAUUCAUAGUCUGGAGAAGUAGACAAUACUUUACUGCUGUGCAUGUACUCCUGUCUGUUCCUCCAAACACGGGAUGUGCUGACAGUAAUCUACUGUAGGUACUGACUAUGGAGAAAGUAAAAUCACAUAACCCUAUGCCACAUUUUUUUGUAAGUCAAUGCUGCAUUUAAGUUAAUAAAACACGGUUAUGAAAAGCAUUUUAGUCUGUUUCAGUACUUUUGUGACACCUUCAGUGGAGGUUGACGGCUGGUGACAUUGAGCAUUGCCAAUCUAAGAAUCUCCUUUAAUGGCAUUGCUGUGAGUAGGUGUAGACUUUGGGGCAACAACUCGUUGGUGAGAAAAACGUGUCUGAAUAGAUAACAGAAAACAAUGGAGAGAGAGGAAUUUGAAGCAAAGGGUCCAGGCUGGAAUUUGAUUGUGGCAUGUGGACUAAGGUCUUAUUACGUCUUAUAGUGGCUACCCUUAACAUGGACUUCACCAAAUGGGUUUGAGCGGCUCCUGAAAUCAUUUUUUAUAGAGGGGAUCGUGCCAAGCCACAAUGCACACCUGACUGACAACUUGUGAAUCUUCAAGCUAAACUGAUGACAGCACAUCCUCAAAGUUCCAGUUUGCUGAACAUUGAACAUCUGUCCUACCUGUGUUUAGUCAAGUCUGGACCCUGGACCUCAAUCUUGUCAAGGGAAAUUAGAGAGAGAAUCAUGCCAGCAGACAUCUGAUGGUCAACAGUGAAUCUUCAACAGAAGCCAGUGGUUCCAGUUGCAGUUCCAGCAUCGUGUGCGAUAUGAUCCCAUUCUGAGCCUCCUGUUCAGUUAAGUCUGAACUCAAUGAAUUAUUAAUCUUAACCAGGCAAGUGUCUAUGUUUUUGCAUGAACUAUUUCUCAUGUGAUCACAUGCUGUUUUUUCCCCAAUAUCUAAACACUGCCUUGUUGCUGUAGUGGAUAAGUUGUUGUAUUUCAGAGAAUGCUUAAAACAAUUUCUUAAAGUUUAUUAAUGAUAAUAUGUUUAAUUUGUUAUUUCCUUUGUAAUUUACCUUUAGCAGUUUUUGACUGUAAAAUCUGUGCCAACCAACUUUAUUAUCUGAUGUGUUGUAUUUCUUGCAAUGACAUUAUGGUGACCACAGCUGCUGGUAAUUCACUGUAAAGUUGAACUUAGUAAUAAAGUACCGUAAUACCUCA
Molecule: long non-coding RNA, 1461 nt
Organism: Acanthochromis polyacanthus (spiny chromis)
Lineage: Eukaryota; Metazoa; Chordata; Actinopteri; Pomacentridae
Exons: 6
Source: RefSeq, a predicted model, not a curated record